AAUCUGACCAACACGUGUUGUGGAACCCGGCAUACUGGAAGUGCUCAUUACCUCUAGAUCAACAAUGGUUGUUGUGUAGAAGCUUCUUGUUCUUUAAUGCAACACAAAGGAGGGAUUCCAAAAUGGCCUCGGUAUUGGUCACUGUGAGGCACGACGUAUCUCAGCAAUAUGCCGAUGAUGCAGCCCUAUCGUCCUACUUUCCCUUCCGAUAAAAGCACCAGCUGAUCCUUGGAGUCCAACUGAAAGAGGGGACUAACUUACACCCAACAUGGAGGCUGGCAUAAAUCUGGAGAAAAGGUUCCGACUGAGACAGACACAAGCGAGUUGGACACCGAAUGAAGAAGACAUGCAAAAGGGGAGCCGUGUGACUAGACUCUCACAUCGGAGCCUCGAAAGCGAGGAGAGCUGUGAGUGAUGGCGGAGACGCCGUCCAACGGGAAGAUGAGCGAAUCCCAGUCAUAAAUAUUUACACUGAGAACAGACAGGAGCCAUUUCAGAUGUGUGGUUAUGUUUUUGUCAAACGGAUUAUAAAAGAAAGCAUCGGGUCAAAGAGAGUGCAGCUGUCAUUCAGAGGUUGUGCGUUAAAUUUUCAGUCGCUGACUAUGAUUCAAAGUGAGAGAAACGGAUGUGAAGAAUCCCUUUUAUUUGCUAACUUAUUUGUUUGUUUGUUCACAUAAGUUCACAUAACCCUUACAUACUUACACAAUGCAUAUUUCAUCACUUGACGAGAGAUGGUCAUUGUGUUUGUGUGUGUGUGCAACAUUGACCACAAUUCAAUAAUGUUUACAUCUUAUUCUUUAAAUCCCGAUCGAGCCCCUAUAGAGAGAGUAGGGUCUGGAUAUUAACGCUUCAUAUGUCCCUUGUGUGUCUGCAUGCAUGAGCUCUGUGAGGAUCAUGUGAUUGAACAGAACCUACAGUUGGUGCCUCUUGGUAUAAACUACAUGAAGAAGACCCAAGCGGUCGCUGAAAGGGUUAAACAGAUGAAGCCCCUCUCCCCCUAAAAGCUUCCAGAAGCCAGCCGCUCUGAGGGGAUCAGAGCUUUCAGACCACUUGUUGCUAAUAGAGGGAUAUUUACGGGAACAGAGAGAGAGUGUAACCUCGGGUCACUGCACUCUGCAACAACACUGACACUAAGACACACAGACAGCCUGUUCUGCUUUUACAGCACGAACAGACAGAUUCAAAAUAAAAGAGUGUGAAGCAAAGAGGAAAGCUGUGCUCAGACAGGCAGCAGGUUCAGUGCGGGUCGCUUUUGAUUAACAGAUAUCAGCAGGAGAAACGCGGCGAACACGGCAGGUGUUUGCAACCAGCUGUCAAGCAGAGGUGCCUGCACCUGCUGUGACAUCAUCGCUCAGGUGUGGCUGGUUGCGCAACAAUGCUCGAAUAUUUCGGCAUCGGGGAGAAUCCACUUUCUGUUUUUUUGAAUAGAAGGAACAGGUUAGGUUGGAAACUUCACUUUCACUUCUGUCUAAUUUGAAACUGUUGUUAGAACAAAUUACACUAUUAUUAAGUAUUACCAUUAUUAUGUUAACAACGCAUUGACGUUUUUAAUGGGGCAACGUUUUCUUGACAGCAGUACAGCCGAUUCUGUCACAGUCUAGAAGGUUGAAUCAUGAAUUAUGUAGAUAAAUAGUAAAACUGCACUCUAUAUUUGUUUGGUCCAUACUAACUAACAACAACUUCCCUUCAUUGGCAUUUGCAAAUAUAAAUUGUAAAAAUGGAAAAAACUAAAUUGUCCCAAUAAAAUAAAGAAUUCCAUCAAAAA
Long non-coding RNA from Gasterosteus aculeatus aculeatus (three-spined stickleback), 1765 nucleotides. Lineage: Eukaryota; Metazoa; Chordata; Actinopteri; Perciformes; Gasterosteidae. The record is from Ensembl.